Molecule: ribosomal RNA, 301 nt
Filed under: uncultured bacterium
Lineage: Bacteria
Description: partial 16S ribosomal RNA
Rfam family: Bacterial small subunit ribosomal RNA
Source: RNAcentral
CAGUAGCCGCGGGAAUACGGAGGGGGCUAGCGUUGUUCGGAAUUACUGGGCGUAAAGCGCACGUAGGCGGCUUUGUAAGUUAGAGGUGAAAGCCUGAUGCUCAACAUCAGAAUUGCCUUUAAGACUGCAUCGCUUGAACGUCGGAGAGGUGAGUGGAAUUCCGAGUGUAGAGGUGAAAUUCGUAGAUAUUCAGAAGAACACCAGUGGCGAAGGCGGCUCACUGGACGACUGUUGACGCUGAGGUGCGAAAGCGUGGGGAGCGAACAGGAUUAGAUACCCCUGUAGUCCCUGUCUCUUAUAC